CAACAUUGUAGCUCAGGCACCGAUAGACAACAUAGCGAGAACCAGAGGGAGGGAUUGGAGGGAGAGGGAGAGGGAGGGAUGGAGGGGGAUAUGGAGAGAAAAAGAGAGAGUGAGAGAGAGAGAUAAGGGCAGAGGGAGUCUUACCAGAGAAAGGGGAGUGAGAAAGAGAGAAAAGAGACUCUGGAGGAAAGGGAGAGGGGAGUGAGAAAAAAUGAGAGAGAGGGAGAGAAGACAAAAUGAGAGAGAGAGAAUGAGAGAGAGGAAGAAGAUAGAAUGAGAGAGGGAAGGAAUGAGAGAGAGGGGGAGAAGAUAAAAUGAGAGAGAGAUAGAAUGAGAGAGAGGAAGAAGAUAGAAUGAGAGAGAGGGAAGGAAUGAGAGAGAGGGAGAGAAGACAAAAUGAGAGAGAGGGAGAGAAGAUAGAAUGAGAGAGGGGGAAGGAAUGAGAAGAGGAGAAAGAGGGAUGUGGAAGGGAGAGGAAAGGGGAUACAGAGAGAGAGGACUGAAAAGAGGACAGGCUGAGGCAACAUAGGGAGAGAGAGCGUGAGUGUGUCUUGUGUGAGAUAUUACGCACUGGUCCUCUCCUCCCACGUCGACUGGCACAGGAGAGAAGCAGCAAGCGCUGGUGAGAGGGCGAUAGGCAUGGGCAGUCUCCAGCUCUCCCUUUGUUUGCAUCUGAAAACACAGGAUUACGGUCCUUGGGUUGAAAUAGCAGGGAAUGACAGGCUCGUGGGUACAUGCUUACAAGAAGAAGAAUUCUGCUCAGAACAGCACUGGCUCAGUGAGGAUUGCCAGGCGCUUGUAUCAUCCUCGUACUGCGGGUCUGAGACUGUGCCAUACCACACUGACACAGCUCAGCAGGGACGGACUGAAAUGAUGAACCAGAGACAGCGGAAUGAUGAAAUAUCUCUCCUAUAGAGCACAGAACACAGCGUGGUGUGUAUGUGUACUCACAUGAAAGGUGUUUUCUUAUGUGUUUGUAGCUUAAUUCCAUGCAACAUGACUUCAUGGGUUUUACUUUUGUAUAUGGCUACGAGGAAGGCAAUCUCACUGGAGUAUCUACUGUCAGAGGAUCUUUAUAUAAGCAUGGGUUUGCAGCUUGAAAACAGGAGUUUAGACUUAGAGUACAUCAACACUAAGUUGCCGGGCUUCUUCUCUGCAACAGGGAGAUAACAGCUGUUAUUAUGGGC
Long non-coding RNA from Clupea harengus (Atlantic herring), 1187 nucleotides. Lineage: Eukaryota; Metazoa; Chordata; Actinopteri; Clupeiformes; Clupeidae. The record is from Ensembl.